Molecule: long non-coding RNA, 4222 nt
Organism: Capra hircus (goat)
Lineage: Eukaryota; Metazoa; Chordata; Mammalia; Artiodactyla; Bovidae
Source: Ensembl
AUGUUCUCUUUAUCUUUCUAUGUGUUCUGCAACCAUCUCAACUUUAACCCUGGGCUGGGACUGAAGGAGAAAAAAAACCCUAGACAACUUGGGAUCCGGCAAUCUGGAAACCGAGCAGAGACCGCUCCCGCGGCGAAGGACCACAGGGGCAAUAGAAUAGGUAACCACACCCACCGCAUUGCAGAAGCCGUGAACUUGGGGGGGGGGGGGGAGGAGGGGAAGGAGGGCGAGAGAAGAGGGGAGACCCCAGACGGCGGGGGGCCCCGCGGCAGGAGCCGGGAAACACUCGCCUGGAACUGGCAGAGACCCCGACUCCCGGGGUCCCGAGCCCCGCGCCCCGGCCUCCCCGCCCCCAGCCGCCGCAGCGCCGCCCGCGCACACGCCUCCCGGGGCAGCGCAGCCUCACGGACGCCAGGUUUGCAGCUUUGAGAAAUUUUGAGGAAGAAAAUGUGACUUGAGUUAUGUCACAGGAAAAAUAUUCUGAUAACACUGCAAAUACUAGAAAGGAUGGGCAGACAGGAGGUGAGUAUGGCAUUGUUCCAAGGACCAGAGAUAAAGACCUGAACUGUCUUUUAAGUGACAGACAAAGGUGACAGUUCAAACACUGGUUGUGUUUGGUGAUGACCUGUGUUCAUUUCCUAUGGGGGCCACAAGAGUGUUCAGAGAUAUAUAUACACAUAUAUGUAACAUCUGUGCAUAUAUGGCGGUGUGUGUUGCAUAUGAGAUCUGUGAAUAAAGAAAGGAUUUCUUUUCCUAUUUUAUAUAUGCACACUAAACCACUUUCCUUUAAAGUGGACUUGAACAAAUUGUAUUGUUUACAGUAUACACUGCAUUGGCAUUAUCACUGGAGAUACAGAUGGUUUCAUAUUUUCAUUCAUUUUAUUGCAGUAUUUUUGCUAUUUUUUUUUUUUAAUUGAAAGUGAACCGCUUUCUCCCUGACUGAUGAAUCUUGGAUCUUUCUAGUGAUGGAAAAAAUCAGUAAUAGUGUAUGAAGGUCUAUUUUCUUGGGAGAAAAUGUUCAAAUACUAAACAUUAGUUUUAAAAGUUAGAAGUACCUAACUAUUCUUCCUAAUACUGCAUGAAUUCAAAAUUUGGAGUAAAAACCAUACUGCUUCAUAGUUUAAUAGUUAACCUGGGAAGCGAUUAUUAUGAAACUGUUUGGGCUUGACCAAGGCUCUAUGGUAUUCUUCUUUGUUUUUCCUAGCACACAUAUGGAGAAAAAGAAAGGCCAAACAAAAAUUCAGGAGCAUCACAGAGCUAGCUCAUCAGUACUUGCUUGUAUCUCUGUAAUAAACACUCUUCUUUCUACCUUGUGAAUAUCAUGCCAAAGCCGCUGCUAGUCAUCUGUCUCCCCACAGUGCCUCACUGGGUACAUUGCAAGCAAGCAGUGAACACUUGCUAAAUGAAUAAAUGGACAUGGAAUAAUGAACUAAGUUGUCACUUGGACGGUUCUUUUUCCUCACAAAUAAAGGACUAUUUCCAAAAUGCUUAUGUUUCAAAAGCACUUCACUUCAGUCGCUCAGUCGUGUUCGACUCUGCGACCCCAUGAAUCGCAGCACGCCAGGCCUCCCUGUCCAUCACCAACUCCCGGAAUUCACUCAGAUUCACGUCCAUCGAGUCAGUGACACCAUCCAGCCAUCUCAUCCUCUGUCGUCCCCUUCUCCUGCUCCCAAUCCCUCCCAGCAUCAGAGUCUUUUCCAAUGAGUCAACUCUUCGCAUGAGGUGGCCAAUAGGGUUCCACAAAAUAAAAAGAUGCUAUCACAUAUUAAUGUUGUUUAGUAUCUGACUCUUUUGUGACCCCAUGGACUAUAGCCCACCAGGCUCCUCUGUCCAGGCAAGAAUACUGGAGUGGGUUGCCAUUUCCCAACCCAGAGAUCAAACACAUGUCUCCUGCAUGGUCUUUACCACUGAGCCAUCAGAUAUUAACACCUGCUGAGUAAAAACAAUAAUGUAAAGAUUACACUUAGGAAUUAUAACUCUCUUUCGGAAAUAAAAUAAGGAGCUCUUCAACCUGGAAAAGAGAAGGGGAAAGCAAAAAGAAGGUAAGGUGAUGCUAUUCAUAAAACACUAAUAAACACUCUACAUCCCUCCAGCUAUCAAAAAUAAAGCCACUCUACCCCCAGAGAAUUUGAUAUUCUUGUCUGUGUAAGACCCCUCAUGGUGCUGCUUCAAUGGGUUACAGAAAAGUAGUUCUUGGGUCAAAGAAAUGCCUUUCAUACAGUCCCAGAGUGAAUGCAGAUUUGGCAUGAGAAUUCAGAUUCCAGAUUUUCUGUGUUCAUACAGGAAAUGCUGAAAUAAUCCAUGAAACGUGGGGCAAGAAUGACCCCAUGCCAUGACUCCAGCCCAGGUCUUAGUUCCUUCUGGUCUCUCCCACUAAGAGAGAGGCUUACCCUACAAUGGGCUUCCUGAGAUUGCUCUCUUGUAGGGAAGAUACAGGUUUCCCAGGUGGCUCAGUGGGUAAAGAAUCCACCUGCAAUGCAGGAGACACAAUUUGAUCCCUGGGUCAGGAAGAUCUCCUGGAGAAGGAAAUGACAACUCACUCCAGUAUUCUUGCCUGGGGAAUCCCAUAGACAGAGGAACCUGGAAGGCUACAGUCAUAGGUCACAAAGAAUUGGACAGAACUGGAGUGACUGAGCAUGCAUGCACGCAGGGAAGAUACAUCACUAAAGGCCAGCAAGCUAUCCAGAAUUCUAGCCAUGGUCCAGAGAAAAGGGACACAGCUUACUUUAGGCAAAGUGUGUGUGUGACUUCAUCCCAAACCGUAGAGACAGGAUUCCCCACGAGCCACCAUCCAUCCACGAGCAUCAAUAGCAUGCUGACUCCAUGGUACACACGGGUACCAUGCUACCUGAUGAGCGAUGAUAACUCCAGCCUGAUGGCCAAGGCAAAGGCAGCAUUUACCAGCUGUAUGACAGCCUUAUCAACAAGACUCCAGGAAGACAUGAUGGAGAGUCUGUCUAGUGAACCCACCAGGACGUUGCCCUCCAGCAGGAAGACUGGGAGAACACUGACUGAAGCUUCACCAAACCUGGCAGAUGCGGCCGCUCUAACAGGCGUGCACCGCUGUCCAUGAUCUCUGACCACCUUUCAUGAAAGCAUGUGGUAUUUAAAAAUAACUCCAUGCCCUUCAGUCCUUUAGGCUGACUGUUCCUCAUCGUUAGUUGUCCUAGUAAAAUGCUAACAACCCUCACAGUAACUAGCUGAGGCUUAUUUUAUGCUCAUGAUAAUCUCAGGCACCUGAAUUGCAUAUCAAGUCCUUGAAAAGAGGACACAAAGUCUUCAGCCAUGGCAUUACCAGGGACCAUAAAUAAGGGAAAUCCAGGGAUGAAUGCAUAAUUCAGAAGCAACAAGCUUAUUCUUCCGAAAUGAAAAUUCAUUUGAGAGUUUCUGGGUUCUAAGAAUAGUGUCAAGUUAACAGCUUAUCAAGGCUUCCAGAUGCUUCAUUCUGAGUUUGUAUACAUCUUUUCAGGGGUCUGUGUACAUGCAGAGCACAGAUGCAGAACGAAAUUUUAAAACGCAAGUACAAAUGCAGCACAAACUAUGUAAAGAUAUGUACAUAUGAGAGGGAGCAAGUUUAGACCUGCUAGCACAUCAUUUUUUUUUUAAUGUUGAAGACUUAUUCUCUUUCCUCUCCUUUAUUCAGCUAUUUUUAAAAACAUUUUUAUUUAUUUCUAAUGGGAGGAUAAUUAUUUUACCAUAUUGUGUUGGUUUCUGACAUACAUCAACAUGAAUCAGCCAUAGAUAUACAUAUGUCCCCUCCCAUUUGAACUUCCCUCCCACCUCCCAUCCCAUCCUAUCCCUCUAGGCUGUCACAGAGCACCAGUUUGAGCUCCCUGCAUCAUACAGCAAAUUCCCCCUAUCUGUUUUACAUACAGUAGUGUUUAUGUUUCCAUGCUCCUCUCUCCAUUCGUCCCACCACCUCCUUCCCACCCUGUGUCCACAAAUCUGUUUUCUAUUAUCUUUGUCUCCAUUGCUCCCUUGCCAAUAGAUUCAUCAGUACCAUCUUUCUAGAUUCCAUAUAUAUGCGUUAGUAUAUGAUAUUUGUUCUUCUCUUUCAAACUUAUUUCACUCUGUAUAAUAGGCUGCUAGCACAUCAUUCUUAAAAAUCAUUCCUAUUCAUCAAAAUUCCAUAUUUUCUUCCUUUCUAUCUUUGUAGUCUUGGAAAAAUAUUAGUCAAAAAGACAUGGCUAAUACAUAUCAUGUAAGUUUCAUUGUAUUAAAA